This 1379-nucleotide ribosomal RNA is filed under the name Clostridium sp. FL2. Its description in RNAcentral is "partial 16S ribosomal RNA". It matches the Rfam family "Bacterial small subunit ribosomal RNA". The record is from RNAcentral. Lineage: Bacteria; Bacillati; Bacillota; Clostridia; Eubacteriales; Clostridiaceae.
GCCUAACACAUGCAAGUCGAGCGAUCUCUUCGGAGAGAGCGGCGGACGGGUGAGUAACGCGUGGGUAACCUGCCCUGUACACACGGAUAACAUACCGAAAGGUAUACUAAUACGGGAUAACAUACGAAAGUCGCAUGGCUUUUGUAUCAAAGCUCCGGCGGUACAGGAUGGACCCGCGUCUGAUUAGCUAGUUGGUAAGGUAAUGGCUUACCAAGGCAACGAUCAGUAGCCGACCUGAGAGGGUGAUCGGCCACACUGGAACUGAGACACGGUCCAGACUCCUACGGGAGGCAGCAGUGGGGAAUAUUGCACAAUGGGCGAAAGCCUGAUGCAGCAACGCCGCGUGAGCCGAUGAAGGCCUUYGGGUCGUAAAGCUCUGUCCUCAAGGGAAGAUAAUGACGGUACUUGAGGAGGAAGCCCCGGCUAACUACGUGCCAGCAGCCGCGGUAAUACGUAGGGGGCUAGCGUUAUCCGGAAUUACUGGGCGUAAAGGGUGCGUAGGUGGUUUUUUAAGUCAGAAGUGAAAGGCUACGGCUCAACCGUAGUAAGCUUUUGAAACUAGAGAACUUGAGUGCAGGAGAGGAGAGUAGAAUUCCUAGUGUAGCGGUGAAAUGCGUAGAUAUUAGGAGGAAUACCAGUAGCGAAGGCGGCUUCUCUGGACUGUAACUGACACUGAGGCACGAAAGCGUGGGGAGCAAACAGGAUUAGAUACCCCUGGUAGUCCACGCCGUAAACGAUGAGUACUAGGUGUCGGGGGUUACCCCCCUCGGUGCCGCAGCUAACGCAUUAAGUACUCCGCCUGGGAAGUACGCUCGCAAGAGUGAAACUCAAAGGAAUUGACGGGGACCCGCACAAGUAGCGGAGCAUGUGGUUUAAUUCGAAGCAACGCGAAGAACCUUACCUAAGCUUGACAUCCCACUGACCUCUCCCUAAUCGGAGAUUUCCCUUCGGGGACAGUGGUGACAGGUGGUGCAUGGUUGUCGUCAGCUCGUGUCGUGAGAUGUUGGGUUAAGUCCCGCAACGAGCGCAACCCUUGCCUUUAGUUGCCAGCAUUAAGUUGGGCACUCUAGAGGGACUGCCGAGGAUAACUCGGAGGAAGGUGGGGAUGACGUCAAAUCAUCAUGCCCCUUAUGCUUAGGGCUACACACGUGCUACAAUGGGUGGUACAGAGGGUUGCCAAGCCGCGAGGUGGAGCUAAUCCCUUAAAGCCAUUCUCAGUUCGGAUUGUAGGCUGAAACUCGCCUACAUGAAGCUGGAGUUACUAGUAAUCGCAGAUCAGAAUGCUGCGGUGAAUGCGUUCCCGGGUCUUGUACACACAGCCCGUCACACCAUGGAAGUUGGGGGCGCCCGAAGCCGGUUAGCUAACCUUUUAGGAAGCG